RNAcentral lists this ribosomal RNA (448 nucleotides) under uncultured bacterium. RNAcentral describes it as "bacterial SSU rRNA". It matches the Rfam family "Bacterial small subunit ribosomal RNA", at positions 330 to 793 of the family's 1533-position model. The record is from RNAcentral.
GCCAGACUCCUACGGGAGGCAGCAGUGGGGAAUAUUGCACAAUGGGGGAAACCCUGAUGCAGCGACGCCGCGUGAGUGAGGAAGUAUUUCGGUAUGUAAAGCUCUAUCAGCAGGGAAGAAAAAAUGACGGUACCUGACUAAGAAGCACCGGCUAAAUACGUGCCAGCAGCCGCGGUAAUACGUAUGGUGCAAGCGUUAUCCGGAUUUACUGGGUGUAAAGGGAGCGCAGGCGGUACGGCAAGUCUGAUGUGAAAGCCCGGGGCUCAACCCCGGUACUGCAUUGGAAACUACCGGACUGGAGUGUCGGAGGGGUAAGUGGAAUUCCUAGUGUAGCGGUGAAAUGCGUAGAUAUUAGGAGGAACACCAGUGGCGAAGGCGGCUUACUGGACGAUCACUGACGCUGAGGCUCGAAAGCGUGGGGAGCAAACAGGAUUAGAUACCCUAGUAU